RNAcentral lists this transfer RNA (73 nucleotides) under Bos taurus (domestic cattle). It matches the Rfam family "tRNA". Rfam says of the family: Transfer RNA (tRNA) molecules are approximately 80 nucleotides in length. Their secondary structure includes four short double-helical elements and three loops (D, anti-codon, and T loops). Further hydrogen bonds mediate the characteristic L-shaped molecular structure. tRNAs have two regions of fundamental functional importance: the anti-codon, which is responsible for specific mRNA codon recognition, and the 3' end, to which the tRNAs corresponding amino acid is attached (by aminoacyl-tRNA synthetases). tRNAs cope with the degeneracy of the genetic code in two manners: having more than one tRNA (with a specific anti-codon) for a particular amino acid; and 'wobble' base-pairing, i.e. permitting non-standard base-pairing at the 3rd anti-codon position. RNAcentral also lists the same sequence under 4 other names. Lineage: Eukaryota; Metazoa; Chordata; Mammalia; Artiodactyla; Bovidae. The record is from Rfam by way of RNAcentral.
UCCCUGAUGGUCCAAUGGUUAGGACUCUGUGCUUCCACCACAGGAGGCAGUGGUUUGAUCCCUGAUCGGGGGA